Molecule: long non-coding RNA, 2216 nt
Organism: Cygnus olor (mute swan)
Lineage: Eukaryota; Metazoa; Chordata; Aves; Anseriformes; Anatidae
Exons: 3
Source: RefSeq, a predicted model, not a curated record
CAGGCUCGGCCACCAAGCCGCGCUCCCAUUGGCUGAGGGGGCGGUGAAGCGGCGAGGCGGGAGCGUGCUGAGGGGAGGUGGCUGCGGGCUGAGGGGACCCUGAGGGGGCGCUGAGGGGAGCGCGGCUGUGAGGCGCCCAGCGACCCCCAACCGAGUAUGGAGGAGCGUGAGGGGAGCCUCCCGACCCCGAGAAGGAGCUCCCCGUGGAGAUGGGUCCCCUUAGCGCGCGGUGUGGGGAGCUUAUCGCGCAGCAGGCCGAGAGAUAGGGGCAGAAAUCGGGUAAUUGCCGGGGGAGCGAGGCGAUAAGGGGCCUGCCCCGCCCGCCGUGACAGUAUCGGCUUGCAGCAAGUCAGGAUCGAUGCAGGUGCACGGUGAGAGCAGGCAAGCUGCAUUACCGGAGAGAAAUCUAUCAAAACCUGAGGUUCCUGAACUGCCUCCUGCCCAGAUGCCGGGAAGUCAGUGCUGGUGCAGAAGCAAAGGAAAGCCCUGUUCCUGUGGAAUAGACUGUUCUUCUUUCUGUGCUCCUGGGGUGUCCUGAAGGCUCGCUACUGGCCUUCAAUUGCAAAACUCUGGCCAUGCCAAAAAGCUUCCAAGGUCAGAAUUUAAGUGCACAUCAGCCUUCCACUACAGGAACCAGCUGGAUCCAGGUUGUACAUCGAGGGAGUUAAUAUGAUGUGACUGUUAAAAAGCAAAGCACUCACUCAAAGAAGGGUUAGACGCUUUUAACCUCUUUUUUUUUUCUUUUCCCGUGUAUGGCCAGAGAUCUAAUCCUGCAAACAAUAAUUACUCUCAUUUCUGUACAAAACAACUUCAUUUGAGUUAUGUGGAAGUAAAACUGCAUUAAAAACAAUUCUUAUGCGGCCAUGCGUGUCAUGAACCUGAGAGGCUGGAUUAAUUGCUUCCCUAGUAAAUAUAUCCUAAGGAAUGAGGUACAGAUGGGAGAUAGUAAUGACUAUCCUGUGUUUAAGAUACAGGAGUGGAAAUCCUGAGGGAGUAGAUUUGGGGGUUGACUGUGCUACAAGACUUGCUACAGACCCUAAGCUCACUGAUCUUUAGUACUUAGCAAACUGAAGUGCUACAGUGAACUCAAAUGCUAUCUAGUCUGUGAAAGUUUUAGUAGCAUUUAUUAUGUGGUAUUUAAGAGGUACAUUGAGGUUUGUUUGUUUCAUACAAGAACCUAUUUAAGAGGCUGUAAUCGUGGUCAUCUCAAGUGCUCCUAUUGCUCAAAAAAAAAUACUGCAAGAAGUUGACUGCUUAGUAAGACACAAACUAUUAUAUCACAUACUUUGCUGCUGCUAGGUGAAGUACUUAAUGUUCAGAACACCUCUUUAGUACUUCAUGAUAUCAAGAAUUUAAGUUCUCAGAUGUCUAAUGUUAUGUAAAUUCUACCUCAAAGUAGGUUUUUUUAAGAGUAAUUUAAACACACGAAUAUAAAAUACAAUUAAUUUUGUCAUCAUCGAGGUUAAAAGACAUUCAGAUGAGUAAUUUUGCUAAAGAACAUUGCUACUUAUGUAAGAAACAUGAGCCAAGAGAUGUCUUAAGCUUCAAAGACCUGGCUCAUCAAGUUUCUGCCUGAAGUUAAGCUUUAAUCUCUAGCUUCUAUCCAAAGUCACUUAGGAAUGAUUUCUACCCAACUGCCUUCUAUACGCAUUUUGUAGCUGUGUUCCUGGUGCUGGGGCUCCUUCAUGGAACAGGCUGACCAGCAGAUGUCACCAAAUUCAAACUAAUCACACUCAAAGCUUCAGAAAUCUUCAGUCCUUUUGAGCUUCCCCAAAGCAUGAGGAACCCGAGGGCACGAAUACUCUCAUUGCUUAUUUACAUGCUUGUACAAACUGUUAUGUUCUGAGCUAGGAGAUGGGCGCCAAGCUGCUGACACAGGGCAGCAGUAUGUAGCACCUGCAUUUUCAUAGAAAAAUUCUUGAUAUCAGAUUCCCUUUUAUUGUCCCUAUGAUUAUGCUACAUUGAUUGACGGUUCCUUGUUUAAAACUGUAUUUUCCAAACCACAUUAAUUUUUUUCCCCUGGAAAAGUAACUCCCCCACAAAUACCACUUAAAAAACUUUCUUGGAAGUUUACAAAGAAAAGGCAAGACUUUUUCAAAACUAGUAUAAACUAUUUUGACUUGCAUGUUACCAAACUCACAAACUGAAUUUCUUGGCAUGACCAAAUACUGCUCUUAUGCUCCUCCCCAAACUAUUUUAAAGAUAUGGAGCUUGCA